RNAcentral lists this ribosomal RNA (484 nucleotides) under uncultured Corynebacterium sp. RNAcentral's name for it is "bacterial SSU rRNA". It matches the Rfam family "Bacterial small subunit ribosomal RNA", at positions 8 to 507 of the family's 1533-position model. Lineage: Bacteria; Bacillati; Actinomycetota; Actinomycetes; Mycobacteriales; Corynebacteriaceae. The record is from RNAcentral.
AGAGUUUGAUCCUGGCUCAGGACGAACGCUGGCGGCGUGCUUAACACAUGCAAGUCGAACGGAAAGGCCCUGCUUGCAGGGUACUCGAGUGGCGAACGGGUGAGUAACACGUGGGUGAUCUGCCCUGCACUUCGGGAUAAGCCUGGGAAACUGGGUCUAAUACCGGAUAGGAGCCAUUUUUAGUGUGAUGGUUGGAAAGUUUUUUCGGUGUAGGAUGAGCUCGCGGCCUAUCAGCUUGUUGGUGGGGUAAUGGCCUACCAAGGCGGCGACGGGUAGCCGGCCUGAGAGGGUGGACGGCCACAUUGGGACUGAGAUACGGCCCAGACUCCUACGGGAGGCAGCAGUGGGGAAUAUUGCACAAUGGGCGCAAGCCUGAUGCAGCGACGCCGCGUGGGGGAUGACGGCCUUCGGGUUGUAAACUCCUUUCGCUAGGGACGAAGCUUUUGUGACGGUACCUAGAUAAGAAGCACCGGCUAACUACGUG